Otolemur garnettii (small-eared galago) is the source of this 104-nucleotide small nuclear RNA. Lineage: Eukaryota; Metazoa; Chordata; Mammalia; Primates; Galagidae. The record is from Ensembl.
GUGCUUACCGCAGCAACACACACACUAAAACUGGAAUGAUACAGAGAUUAUGAUGGCCCCCAUGCAAGGAUGACACACAAAUUCGUGAAGCGUUCCAUAUUUAC